This is a long non-coding RNA of Hibiscus syriacus, 197 nucleotides long. RefSeq lists it as uncharacterized. Lineage: Eukaryota; Viridiplantae; Streptophyta; Magnoliopsida; Malvales; Malvaceae. The transcript is spliced from 3 exons. The record is from RefSeq and is a predicted model, not a curated record.
AGCCUGAGAGAUCAAAGCAGGCAUUGCACCCGGAAAUCGGUUAUUCGACAGCAAUAAUUGUGCAAGAGACUUGGCAUUACUUAUUUCACCUGUUACUAGACCUUCAAAUUGAUUCAUGGUAAGAUCAAUCAACUGAAGCUUUGGCAAGGUCCAUAUACCAGCAGAGACAGUAGCAGAAAGCCUAUUGUUAUUUACCC